Molecule: RNA transcript, 2822 nt
Organism: Hirundo rustica (Barn swallow)
Lineage: Eukaryota; Metazoa; Chordata; Aves; Passeriformes; Hirundinidae
Gene: AP5Z1
Gene name: adaptor related protein complex 5 subunit zeta 1
Exons: 18
Source: RefSeq, a predicted model, not a curated record
GCUUUGGCCGCGUACCGUGGCGCGGGCCCGGGCGGCGGCGGGGCCGCGAUGUUCACGGCGGCUGCCGAGAGCUUCCUCAGGCAGGCCAGGGAGAUCCAGGAGGAGGAGCUGCGGAGAUUUGCCGCCCGCGUGUCCGCCCUGCUGCAGGGCCCCGAGCCCGGCCCCGAGGCCGUGGAUGGGCUGCAGAGGCUGCACCUCACCGUGGCCGCCACCAAGUACCCCCGCAAGCUCGAUGGAGAGUUUGUGGAGCUGUUGCAGACAGUGCUGUGCUCGCCCAAAAGUCCCGAGCAGAUUCGGGUGUUAUGUGCUGCCAUCCUAAGAGAGAUGUCUCCUUGCAAUGAUCUGAUCCUCUCCUGUGAUGAGAUUCAAGAUACAAAGCUCUUGAGCUUGGUGUCCUCCGUCCUUCUGGCUCAGGAAAAUAAGGAUGAAGUGGCAGCUGUGGGGCAGCGUGUUGUGAAAGUCCUUGAAAGAAAACUGCCUGAGGGUCAGAGCGCUCGGUUCCUCCUUCCUGUCCUGGCAAAUGUCAUCAGCCUUUCACCAGAAUCUCUAACAGAAGAACAGACCAAUGUUGUCAGUAAAAAGCUGGCUGACUGGCUGAGGUAUGCAAGCAUUCAGCAAGGAAUGGCUCAACCCUCUGGAGGCUUCUUCUCCAGUCCCAGAACCAAACAGCCUGCUCCUAUCACAGAGAUGGACGGUGCUGUUGCCACAGACUUCUUCACGGUCCUCUCAGUGGCUCAGCACUACACACAGGACCAGUGGCUCAACAUGCAGUCCUUCUCCAUGCUGAGAAACUGGCUGCUGUGCUAUGGGGGCAAGGAGCUGAGCACCCUUAAUCCAGAUGACAAAGCAGGAAAGGACAGGACUGUGACAUCCGUGGUCUCCACAGCUGGGCAGCUGCUUCCCCCCAGGGAGCGCCUGCGGGACAAAGCCUUCGAGUACUGCCAGCGCCUCAUCGAGCAGAGCAACCGGCGACCCCUGAAGAAAGAUGAUGGAGACCUGCAAAAAGCUUGUCUCAUUGAGGCAGUGACAAUCAUGGACAUCAUCUGCAAACAGGACUCCUCCUACGUGUGCCGAGCUGUCUCCUUCCUGAAAAUCCUGCACAGCAGGAUCUGUGGGGAUGCCACUUAUGCCAGGGCACUGCUGCCCAUUGCCCAGUUCUUCCUGAACCACAGCAAACUGGCAGCUGUGGAUUCGAAUGCCAUCUACAAACACCUCUUCACUGAUAUCCCAGCUCAGCUCUUCCACAACUCAUCACUGGCCUUCGAAUUUGUCCAGUUCUGCAAAGACAACAGCCAGCUCUUCACAGACUCCUCCCGCAUAUUCAGGCAGAGCUUCCCAAAUCUCUUCAAGUUCCUGGCGUGGAACAGCCCACCUCUGAUCUCUGAGUUUGUGGAUCUUCUCCCAUUUCUGCUGGAUCCAGGCACAGCCAUUGAAAUCUUCCAUUUGCUGCUUGACCUGCCCUGUUUGACAGCAGCUCUGGACAUCCAGCUGAGGGCAGCUGCUCUUCCUGCCUCUGACAAGGCUGGUGGUGACCCAGCUGGGAAACCUGCCACGUGUCUGGAGGCCUUUCGCCAUCCCCUCUACAAGAGCAUGUUCCAGCAUCUCCUCCGCACCACGUCUGCUCCUCAGGAUGCCCCGGAGAGUCUGGUUCCACUUCGGCUGCUGCUGGGAUCCCUGGCUGGCAGCCCAAGGGUGGUGCAGUGCGCAGAGACUGUCCCUGUCUUACUGGAGCUCUUUUUCAGGGUGGUGGCAGAGUUUGCAGAUGAGUCUCUGCUAAACCAGCUGGUGGUGCUGCUGCUGCAGAGGAGUGACCAGCUCUACGAGAUCCCAGCGUUUAAAGAGGAUGUGUACAGGGUGCUGGGCUCACAGCUGGCAGUGCUCUGCGGGCUGCGCCCCGCGCUCGUGGUGGAACUGUCCACGGAGAUCCUGGAGUUCUCGGGAGCAGUCAGCAACAUCCAGGGCAAGGAGGCCAUCUUCACCCACAUGGUGUGGGCUAUCGGCGAGUACCUGUCGGUGUCCUACGACAGGCGCUGCACGGUGGAGCAGAUCACGCGGUUCUUCGAGACCCUCGAGGCUGUGCUCUUUGAGAUCACCCAGCUCCGGCCGCAGGCCAGCACCCCCAGCUGUGCCCCCCGUGCCAUCAGUGCCCUCAUGGCCACCUUGACCAAGCUGGCAGCCCGCAGCCAGGACUUGAUCCCCCGAGUGUCCAUGUUCCUGUCCAAGAUGAGGACAUUUGUGCAGAGCCCUGUUGUCACCUCUGUUUACUGCGAGGAAGACCUUGAGGAGAUCCUUAUUCGGGCAACCGAGCUCAUGAACCUGCUGAAAAUGCCCAGCGUGGCUCAGUUUGUGUUCACCCCGCCCGUGGCCAGCACACGCUUUCAGAGGGAGGUGAAUGAGUCCCUCCCCUCGGCCCUGAGGAUGGUCACCCAGCUCCUGGAGCCUGCUGCAGGCUCCGUGCCAGUGUGAGGGCUGGAGGUUUCUGGAGUUAUUCACUGGACACUGCUGACACUCAAGGCUGAGGCCCUGAUCUUAACUGGAAAAGAGGAACGAAUGAUUGUGAAUGAAACAGAGAACAGGAAUAAGGAGAGCUGAGGCUGCUCUUCUGGUCUGAGGCUGUUUGUAUUUCUGUGUCCUAGUGCCUGUUGCUUUUUUAUCUCCUAAGCUCAUCUUAUCCCUUCCUGAUCAGGCAAAGGCCUGUGUGAGCUGGAGGAAGCAGGACUGACUCCAUCACAUCUGGGAGCCCUCACCGCUCCUCUGUCUCACCCCUGGAGCGAACACGGAGACAUCUGCCAGAGCAGGGCUUAGGGAGAUUUAUUGAUCCA